GGGGGUGUAGCUCAGUUUUGGUUAGAGCGCCGGCCUGUCAAGCCGGAGGUCGCGGGUUCAAGUCCCGUCACUCCCGCCA
Molecule: transfer RNA, 79 nt
Filed under: Desulfobacterales bacterium
Lineage: Bacteria; Pseudomonadati; Thermodesulfobacteriota; Desulfobacteria; Desulfobacterales
Also listed under: 3 other names
Description: tRNA-Asp
Rfam family: tRNA
About the family: Transfer RNA (tRNA) molecules are approximately 80 nucleotides in length.
Source: RNAcentral